Molecule: ribosomal RNA, 1541 nt
Filed under: Bacteroides xylanisolvens
Lineage: Bacteria; Pseudomonadati; Bacteroidota; Bacteroidia; Bacteroidales; Bacteroidaceae
Description: bacterial SSU rRNA
Rfam family: Bacterial small subunit ribosomal RNA
Source: RNAcentral
CUUUUACAAUGAAGAGUUUGAUCCUGGCUCAGGAUGAACGCUAGCUACAGGCUUAACACAUGCAAGUCGAGGGGCAGCAUUUUAGUUUGCUUGCAAACUAAAGAUGGCGACCGGCGCACGGGUGAGUAACACGUAUCCAACCUGCCGAUAACUCGGGGAUAGCCUUUCGAAAGAAAGAUUAAUAUCCGAUAGUAUAUUAAAACCGCAUGGUUUUACUAUUAAAGAAUUUCGGUUAUCGAUGGGGAUGCGUUCCAUUAGUUUGUUGGCGGGGUAACGGCCCACCAAGACUACGAUGGAUAGGGGUUCUGAGAGGAAGGUCCCCCACAUUGGAACUGAGACACGGUCCAAACUCCUACGGGAGGCAGCAGUGAGGAAUAUUGGUCAAUGGACGAGAGUCUGAACCAGCCAAGUAGCGUGAAGGAUGACUGCCCUAUGGGUUGUAAACUUCUUUUAUAUGGGAAUAAAGUAUUCCACGUGUGGGAUUUUGUAUGUACCAUAUGAAUAAGGAUCGGCUAACUCCGUGCCAGCAGCCGCGGUAAUACGGAGGAUCCGAGCGUUAUCCGGAUUUAUUGGGUUUAAAGGGAGCGUAGGUGGAUUGUUAAGUCAGUUGUGAAAGUUUGCGGCUCAACCGUAAAAUUGCAGUUGAAACUGGCAGUCUUGAGUACAGUAGAGGUGGGCGGAAUUCGUGGUGUAGCGGUGAAAUGCUUAGAUAUCACGAAGAACUCCGAUUGCGAAGGCAGCUCACUAGACUGCAACUGACACUGAUGCUCGAAAGUGUGGGUAUCAAACAGGAUUAGAUACCCUGGUAGUCCACACAGUAAACGAUGAAUACUCGCUGUUUGCGAUAUACAGUAAGCGGCCAAGCGAAAGCAUUAAGUAUUCCACCUGGGGAGUACGCCGGCAACGGUGAAACUCAAAGGAAUUGACGGGGGCCCGCACAAGCGGAGGAACAUGUGGUUUAAUUCGAUGAUACGCGAGGAACCUUACCCGGGCUUAAAUUGCAUUUGAAUAAUCUGGAAACAGGUUAGCCGCAAGGCAAAUGUGAAGGUGCUGCAUGGUUGUCGUCAGCUCGUGCCGUGAGGUGUCGGCUUAAGUGCCAUAACGAGCGCAACCCUUAUCUUUAGUUACUAACAGGUGAUGCUGAGGACUCUAGAGAGACUGCCGUCGUAAGAUGUGAGGAAGGUGGGGAUGACGUCAAAUCAGCACGGCCCUUACGUCCGGGGCUACACACGUGUUACAAUGGGGGGUACAGAAGGCAGCUACCUGGCGACAGGAUGCUAAUCCCAAAAACCUCUCUCAGUUCGGAUCGAAGUCUGCAACCCGACUUCGUGAAGCUGGAUUCGCUAGUAAUCGCGCAUCAGCCAUGGCGCGGUGAAUACGUUCCCGGGCCUUGUACACACCGCCCGUCAAGCCAUGAAAGCCGGGGGUACCUGAAGUACGUAACCGCAAGGAGCGUCCUAGGGUAAAACUGGUAAUUGGGGCUAAGUCGUAACAAGGUAGCCGUACCGGAAGGUGCGGCUGGAACACCUCCUUUCUGGAGC